GCUAGUAUAGCUCAAUUGGUAGAGCAGCUGAUUUGUAAUCAGCAGGUUAUGGGUUCAAGUCCCUUUACUAGCUUAU
RNAcentral lists this transfer RNA (76 nucleotides) under Chondrus crispus (carragheen). RNAcentral's name for it is "tRNA trnT(tgt)". It matches the Rfam family "tRNA". Rfam says of the family: Transfer RNA (tRNA) molecules are approximately 80 nucleotides in length. RNAcentral also lists the same sequence under 2 other names. Lineage: Eukaryota; Rhodophyta; Florideophyceae; Gigartinales; Gigartinaceae. The record is from RNAcentral.